GACAGAGGGUGCAAACGUUGUUCGGAAUUACUGGGCGUAAAGCGCGUGUAGGCUGCUCGGAAAGUCGGAUGUGAAAGCCCUGGGCUCAACCUAGGAAGUGCAUUCGAAACUCCCGAGCUGGAGUCCUGGAGAGGAAGGCGGAAUUCUCGGUGUAGAGGUGAAAUUCGUAGAUAUCGAGAGGAACACCGGUGGUGAAGGCGGCUCUCUGGGACGGUACUGACGCUGAGACGCGAAAGCGUGGGGAGCGAACAGG
This 253-nucleotide ribosomal RNA is filed under the name uncultured bacterium. RNAcentral describes it as "partial 16S ribosomal RNA". It matches the Rfam family "Bacterial small subunit ribosomal RNA", at positions 524 to 776 of the family's 1533-position model. The record is from RNAcentral.